GCCUCUUUAGCUCAGCUGGUAGAGCAGCUCAUUCGUAAUGAGCAGGUCGAGGGUUCGAGCCCCUUGAGUGGCU
RNAcentral lists this transfer RNA (73 nucleotides) under Candidatus Coprenecus stercorigallinarum. Its description in RNAcentral is "tRNA-Thr". It matches the Rfam family "tRNA". Rfam says of the family: Transfer RNA (tRNA) molecules are approximately 80 nucleotides in length. Lineage: Bacteria; Pseudomonadati; Bacteroidota; Bacteroidia; Bacteroidales; Rikenellaceae. The record is from RNAcentral.